Molecule: non-coding RNA, 407 nt
Organism: Citreicella sp. SE45
Lineage: Bacteria; Pseudomonadati; Pseudomonadota; Alphaproteobacteria; Rhodobacterales; Roseobacteraceae
Source: Rfam
GUGGAGGGCCGGGCGGCCGCUGCCGGCGGGGUGACCCGUCGGGAGAGGAAAGUCCGGACUCGCCGAAGCGCCGGUGCCGGGUAACGCCCGGGCAGGGCAACCUGACGGAGAGCGCCACAGAGAACAGACCGCUCCGGUUCGCCGGAGCAAGGGUGAAACGGUGGGGUAAGAGCCCACCGGGGGACGGGCAACCGGACCCGCAUGGCAAGCCCCACCGGGAGCAAUGCCAAAUAGGGACUUCGCGCGGGGCAUGAUCUCUUCGGGGAUAUCGCCGCAGGGCUGCUUCGGCCCGAGACGUCCGGGUUGGCAGCACGAGCCCGCGGGCAAUCGCGGGCCUAGAGGAAUGGUCGCACAGGGGUGGGGAGACCCGCCCUGGACAGAAUCCGGCUUACAGGCCCUCCACGCAG